ACCCAGGCCAGCAAAGCCACUGGGAAGAUGGCCAAAGAGCGCCACGCGCGGUCUCUCGGCUGCCCCACGCUUGUCUGGCGAAGGACAACCGGGCAAGGGGUUGCCCCGCUGGCUUAAGACGUGGAUCCUAGGACUGGUUAGGCGGAGCUGCUCACUCAACUAUCCAGUGUCCGCUUCCAAAGAAAGCGCGCGCCUGGAUGUUUCUGGGGCCUAGGAGCAUUUGGAAGGCUUUAUGGGCGUUUUCCAUACUGAACUUGCAGCUCUUCGCCAUGCGUACCUACUGGUAACCAAGAGAAUGUACCCAGGACAAAGACGUUUAUACUGUUUAUACCUUCACGACAGCAGCAGCUUAGUAGCAACAAUGUGACUCGUAUGACGUUCAGUAUCUGUGUUUCUCAUUUCACGAAUUAUUUAUAUUUCAGUCCUUCAAGAAAAAUGUAAAAAAAAAGUUUGACGAAGCUUUGAUCAUCUGUCUCCUAUCAGCCACGACUUAUUGAGUGGAUUUGGAUCCAAGUUCUGCAAUAUUGGAGUAGAGUCCAGAUUUCCCAUCUUUUCAAUAUUUUUUUUCAAAUAAAAUUUUCUUAGUAAUCAAGUCAUUUAUGAGGAAAGGAUUCAAAUUCAGUCUUCCUUUCUUACCACACUUAAACCAGUGGUUCUCAACCAUGCUAAUGCUGCGAUCCUUUAAUACAAUUUCUUAUGUUAUGGUGACCCCAACAAUAGAGUUAUUUUUGUUGCUACUUCAUAACUGUAAUCUUGCUACUAUUAUGAUUUGUAAUGUAAAUAAAUAUUUUUGGAGAUACAGUUUUACCAAAAAGGUCUGGACCCACAGGCUGAGAACUUCUCAAACAGCCUAUUGUUCAUUCAUUCACCAUUUAUCAAAUACAGAUACCAGAUUUUUGCUAGGCCCCGGGGAAACUCAAUCCCAAGUCCUAAAACUUAAACUUAUGGGGAGGAGAUAUGUAAAAAAACACUGGAUGUAACAGAAAAGCCAAGGACUCAGGAUGUUGAAUUUCCUUUUCCCAGACUUUGCCACUAUAGUCAAGCUCAUAAUACACAUUUUGCUUCUCAUAAAGUAAGGAUCUUGUGUCUAAAGUUCUAACGUUUUUAGUCUGGAAUUCAGUGUAUUUUUUUUUCUUUUUUUCCUUUUUUUUCUCGGAGCUGGGGACUGAACCCAGGGCCUUACGCUUGCUAGGCAAGUGCUCUACAACUGAACUAAAUCCCCAACCCUGGAAUUCAGUGUAUUUAACACUAUAUCAUCCUUUUGAAUCGGUUUAUAAUCAUAUCUAUUUGUUCUUAUGCAACUGCCAUAGACAGUUGUCUUUGAAAACUGGGUGGUGACGGUGGUGACACAUGCCUUUAAUCCUAGAAUUUGGGAGGCAAAGGCAAGCAAGCUCUUGAGUUCCAGGCCAGCCUGGUCUAUAGAGUCAGUUCUAAGACAUCCAGGGCUACCCUGAAAAAACCUGUCUCCAAAACCAAAACCAAAACCAACCAACCAAAACCAAAGAAAGAAAGAAAGAAAGAAGAGAAAGGAAGGAAGAAAGAAAGAAAAGAAAGAAAGAAAGAGAGAAAGAAAGAAGAGAAAGGAAGGAAGAAAGAAAGAAAAGGAAACAGCUUCUAUUUUAUACAACUGGUCCAAAAAUACUUUCUACAUUUUCAGUUCCUAAAAUGGGUUCUAGUUAUAUUUAAUGAAAGGCAGUCACCAUGGUAAACGUCCAAAUAUUAUAGUUUCCCCCACAGACAAGUUUAUAAAUACUUAGAAAUAUCUGUUGGAACUCUAACAUGCUUUAGAAAAUUUUGUAACAAGACUCCCGACCUGAGUAAGCCUCCAGACCUUAGCACAACUGACUCCGUGGUGGAAGUGCGAUUCAGGCCGCAAAACUCAGCAGGUAGACAGCACCGCCCGCCAAAACUAAAACAGAGGCCUGAUCCAUCAAAGCCCAUAGCUCUGGGAAAGUAUCAAAAUGUGCUAUUCAUCGCUUUUUAGCUCUUUUAGCUUCACUUCUGGCUAACUGUUCUUGUUAACCAAAGUGUGUCAAAUCAGAACAUUGUUUUUGAGAAAGGCUCAGGGCUGCACUGGAAUCUCAAUCCCACUGUAGUUGCCAGCCAGCUAAUAAAGACUUCCUAUUGGCUUAAACCCAUGACCAAGCAGUCUUCUCUGGUGAAUACCACACAAUAAUUUUUGACAUGUGAAUGCUUCAUGCUGGUUUUCAGAAGCCACUGUUUCUGAGACGGGUUCAUGGUUCAUAUGACUUAAAUGGCUUUCCCUUUCAAAUAGGUCUUCAGUGAAUGCAAUUGUUGGUUCUCCUCAAAUGUUCAGCUUGGUUAAGCUGCUGUAGACAGUCAAAGGACACCAAACUUGUUGGAAUCAGCUUUUUAAAACAGUGAAGGGGGUUUCCUAUGUCACUAUUACACUUGAUACCCCUAACGCAUUUCUGAACCUGGAGUGUGCUUGCCAAGGAAGUCAAAGGUUGUCCUAAAGUGAUGUGCGGCCGUCACUCUUAGUUCUUGUUGAGAUGAUUUGUUUUAUAGAAGCAAAUAUAACAUAUGCCUGUACGAAAUAAAAGCUUUUAGAGGUCAUCAAAGCAUAGCUUGGUGUUGACCACUUUUAGACUUCUCACUAUUUCUACAGAUAUUAGUGUUGGUACAAGAGGUAUAGUUUGCACCUCUCAUAAAGUCACUGAAACAACUGAUUGUUCAGCUUGUGAAUAAAUGGAAGCCAUUUGGACUUUGCUGCCAUGGCUGCUUUGGUCAGUUUUCUACCCUUGUGAUUCAUAUCGCAUUUUAUUUUUAGUUUUCUAAGGAACCCCUAUAUUGUUUUUCAAAUUUGCCAGACAGAUUUACAUUUCUACAAUGGAUUAAUGGAUACAGAAAAAAAAUGUGCUAUUUACACAAUGGAAUAUAUUUACCCACAAAGAUGAAUGAAAUGGUGACAUUUGCAUGAAAAUGAGUGGAAUUGGAGGCCCUCACAUUAACAAAAUAAGCCAGAUUCAGGAAGAAAAACAUAACCUAUGUUGAGUCUGGGUUUUAAAAAGUCAUGAGAGUCGGGUUGGGGAUUUAGCUCAGUGGUAGAGCGCUUGCCUAGCAACCGAAAGGCUCUGGGUUCGGUCCCCAGCUCCGGAAAAGAAAAAAAAAAAAAAAAAGACAAAAAAAAAGACAUGAGAGUAGAGUAGUGGGCUACGGAAAUAUGGUUAUGCCAUCUCAUGAAAAUAUUCCUGUGAAUACAUUAAGUGUUAAAACUAUCCUGGGUAAAACUGGACUCUGUACUAGCCCUAAAUUCCUAAGGUAAACUGGUCCUAUACAAUAUGACCUUGAGCUAAAGGUUACCUGCCUGACCAUAUAGCUGUUACCUCUCCACUGCUGUAAACAGCUUCUGCAAACAACGCUUGUUAUCUGUAUACAUUA
Molecule: non-coding RNA, 3402 nt
Organism: Rattus norvegicus (Norway rat)
Lineage: Eukaryota; Metazoa; Chordata; Mammalia; Rodentia; Muridae
Source: RefSeq, a predicted model, not a curated record